AGUGAACGCUGGCGGUAGGCCUAACACAUGCAAGUCGAACGGCAGCACAGUAAGAGCUUGCUCUUACGGGUGGCGAGUGGCGGACGGGUGAGGAAUACAUCGGAAUCUACUUUUUCGCGGGGGAUAACGUAGGGAAACUUACGCUAAUACCGCAUACGACCUACGGGUGAAAGCAGGGGAUCUUCGGACCUUGCGCGAUUGAAUGAGCCGAUGUCGGAUUAGCUAGUUGGCGGGGUAAAGGCCCACCAAGGCGACGAUCCGUAGCUGGUCUGAGAGGAUGAUCAGCCACACUGGGACUGAGACACGGUCCAGACUCCUACGGGAGGCAGCAGUGGGGAAUAUUGGACAAUGGGCGCAAGCCUGAUCCAGCCAUACCGCGUGGGUGAAGAAGGCCUUCGGGUUGUAAAGCCCUUUUGUUGGGAAAGAAAAGCAGCAGGUUAAUACCCCGCUGUUCUGACGGUACCCAAAGAAUAAGCACCGGCUAACUUCGUG
This 492-nucleotide ribosomal RNA is filed under the name uncultured bacterium. Its description in RNAcentral is "partial 16S ribosomal RNA". It matches the Rfam family "Bacterial small subunit ribosomal RNA", at positions 29 to 507 of the family's 1533-position model. The record is from RNAcentral.